This 77-nucleotide transfer RNA is filed under the name Candidatus Peribacteria bacterium RIFCSPHIGHO2_02_FULL_53_20. RNAcentral describes it as "tRNA-Arg". It matches the Rfam family "tRNA". Rfam says of the family: Transfer RNA (tRNA) molecules are approximately 80 nucleotides in length. Their secondary structure includes four short double-helical elements and three loops (D, anti-codon, and T loops). Lineage: Bacteria; Candidatus Peregrinibacteriota; Candidatus Peribacteria. RNAcentral also lists the same sequence under 2 other names. The record is from RNAcentral.
GCGCUUGUAGCUCAAUUGGAUAGAGUGUCGCCCUCCGAAGGCGAAGGUUGUGGGUUCAAGUCCCGCCAAGCGCACCA